This 516-nucleotide ribosomal RNA is filed under the name Amycolatopsis rubida. RNAcentral's name for it is "bacterial SSU rRNA". It matches the Rfam family "Bacterial small subunit ribosomal RNA", at positions 1 to 532 of the family's 1533-position model. The record is from RNAcentral. Lineage: Bacteria; Bacillati; Actinomycetota; Actinomycetes; Pseudonocardiales; Pseudonocardiaceae.
UUGUUGGAGAGUUUGAUCCUGGCUCAGGACGAACGCUGGCGGCGUGCUUAACACAUGCAAGUCGAACGCUGAACCGGUUUCGGCCGGGGAUGAGUGGCGAACGGGUGAGUAACACGUGGGUAAUCUGCCUUGUACUCUGGGAUAAGCCUGGGAAACUGGGUCUAAUACCGGAUAUGACCUUUCACCGCAUGGUGGGGGGUGGAAAGUUCCGGCGGUACGGGAUGAACCCGCGGCCUAUCAGCUUGUUGGUGGGGUAGUGGCCUACCAAGGCGACGACGGGUAGCCGGCCUGAGAGGGUGACCGGCCACACUGGGACUGAGACACGGCCCAGACUCCUACGGGAGGCAGCAGUGGGGAAUAUUGCACAAUGGGCGCAAGCCUGAUGCAGCGACGCCGCGUGAGGGAUGACGGCCUUCGGGUUGUAAACCUCUUUCGCCAGGGACGAAGCGAGAGUGACGGUACCUGGAUAAGAAGCACCGGCUAACUACGUGCCAGCAGCCGCGGUAAUACGUAGGG